RNAcentral lists this transfer RNA (76 nucleotides) under Bacillota bacterium. Its description in RNAcentral is "tRNA-Val". It matches the Rfam family "tRNA". From Rfam's summary of the family: Transfer RNA (tRNA) molecules are approximately 80 nucleotides in length. The record is from RNAcentral. Lineage: Bacteria; Bacillati; Bacillota.
GGGGAUAUAGCUCAGAGGUAAGAGCGUUCGGCUCACAUCCGAAAGGUCGUAGGUUCGACUCCUACUAUCCCCACCA